This is a long non-coding RNA of Saccostrea cuccullata (small rock oyster), 319 nucleotides long. RefSeq lists it as uncharacterized. The transcript is spliced from 2 exons. Lineage: Eukaryota; Metazoa; Mollusca; Bivalvia; Ostreida; Ostreidae. The record is from RefSeq and is a predicted model, not a curated record.
CAUUCACUCCACGUCAAUGGUAAUUUCUAUCUGAAACCGAAAUUACUUUAUUGGAUUUUUCUAAAUUUCAUAUUUCUUUGAGAAUUCAGCCCAGUAGAUCAUCAGAUAGAUUAUGAGUGAUUCGGAGGAAACAGUAGUUUAUCAUCAUACUUCCAGAUCUGGAGCAAGAAAUAUAAUCAAAGAUCAAAAGAUUAAAAAAUCAGAAAAAACUUCAACUACGGAUGAUGCUGCAUUCGGUACCGGAACUUACGUAACAAAGAUGGGGCCAGAACAUUCAAGAGAUGCGAUUGCGAAGAAUAAUUAUGAUGGCAUGACAAAA